CCUACGGGAGGCAGCAGUGGGGAAUAUUGGGCAAUGGGCGCAAGCCUGACCCAGCAACGCCGCGUGAAGGAAGACUGCUCUCGGGUUUUAAAACUCUUUUGACAGGGAAGUGCAGUGGACGGUACAUGUUGCUUAACCUAUGGCUAACGACGAGCCAGCAGCCGCGGUAAUGCGGAGGUGGCAAGCGUUGUCCGGAUUUAGUGGGUGUAAAGGGCGUGUUGUGGGGCUGAGAAGUCAGAUGUGAAAUCCUGCGGCUCAACCGCCGAAUUGCAUUUGAAACUGGAGUUCUUGAGUAUCGGAGAGGCAGGCGGAAUUCCUGGUGUAGCGGUGAAAUGCGUAGAUAUUAGGAGGAACACCAGUGGCGAAGGCGGCCUGCUGGACGACAACUGACGGUGAGGCGCGAAAGUGUGGGGAGCAAACAGGAUUAGAUACCCGUGUAGUC
RNAcentral lists this ribosomal RNA (442 nucleotides) under uncultured bacterium. RNAcentral's name for it is "partial 16S ribosomal RNA". It matches the Rfam family "Bacterial small subunit ribosomal RNA", at positions 338 to 795 of the family's 1533-position model. The record is from RNAcentral.